GGGGGUGCACCGGUUUCGACGGGGUCGAUGGGGCGCACACUGCGAGCAGAGGAUUCUCGUUGGCCUCUAUAAAAACGAGAAAAUUAAAAUUAAACGCUAACGAUAACGUAGCACUUCAGGCUGCCUAAGCGCGCCUGCGUUCCUCAUACAGUCACCCGGGCCGUGUGAUGUGAGCGCCAGUGAUCCGGGCCUUGCACAGGGGCAGGUAAAAUGUGCCAACGUUUGAACGAAAGCUUUGCCGUUUAGAUGUAUUGAUGAAGCUACCUUUCAGAUUACUCCGUUUGUCGAGGAAUUUAAAAGGGAAUUUUAAUAGGCAGACUACGCUCGUAGACGUGGGCGAGGAUUCGGUUCCGGACGUGGGUUCGACUCCCUCCACCUCCACCA
This 384-nucleotide transfer-messenger RNA is filed under the name human gut metagenome. It matches the Rfam family "transfer-messenger RNA". From Rfam's summary of the family: Bacterial tmRNA, also known as 10Sa RNA or SsrA, is named for its dual tRNA and mRNA-like properties. Its role is to liberate the mRNA from a stalled ribosome. The record is from RNAcentral.